Molecule: ribosomal RNA, 731 nt
Filed under: uncultured bacterium
Lineage: Bacteria
Description: bacterial SSU rRNA
Rfam family: Bacterial small subunit ribosomal RNA
Source: RNAcentral
AGCGGCGGACGGGUGAGUAAUGCUUAGGAAUCUGCCAUUUAGUGGGGGACAACAUUCCGAAAGGGAUGCUAAUACCGCAUACGUCCUACGGGAGAAGGCAGGGGAUCUUCGGACCUUGCGCUAAAUGAUGAGCCUAAGUCGGAUUAGCUAGUUGGUGGGGUAAAGGCCUACCAAGGCGACGAUCUGUAGCGGGUCUGAGAGGAUGAUCCGCCACACUGGGACUGAGACACGGCCCAGACUCCUACGGGAGGCAGCAGUGGGGAAUAUUGGACAAUGGGCGGAAGCCUGAUCCAGCCAUGCCGCGUGUGUGAAGAAGGCCUUUUGGUUGUAAAGCACUUUAAGCGAGGAGGAGGCUACCUGGAUUAAUACUCUGGGAUAGUGGACGUUACUCGCAGAAUAAGCACCGGCUAACUCUGUGCCAGCAGCCGCGGUAAUACAGAGGGUGCGAGCGUUAAUCGGAUUUACUGGGCGUAAAGCGUGCGUAGGCGGCUUUUUAAGUCGGAUGUGAAAUCCCCGAGCUUAACUUGGGAAUUGCAUUCGAUACUGGGAAGCUAGAGUAUGGGAGAGGAUGGUAGAAUUCCAGGUGUAGCGGUGAAAUGCGUAGAGAUCUGGAGGAAUACCGAUGGCGAAGGCAGCCAUCUGGCCUAAUACUGACGCUGAGGUACGAAAGCAUGGGGAGCAAACAGGAUUAGAUACCCUGGUAGUCCAUGCCGUAAACGAUGUCUACUAGC